This 255-nucleotide ribosomal RNA is filed under the name uncultured bacterium. RNAcentral describes it as "partial 16S ribosomal RNA". It matches the Rfam family "Bacterial small subunit ribosomal RNA", at positions 524 to 777 of the family's 1533-position model. The record is from RNAcentral.
UACAGAGGGGGCAAGCGUUGUUCGGAAUUACUGGGCGUAAAGGGCGCGUAGGCGGCGUGACAAGUCACUUGUGAAAUCUCCGGGCUUAACUCGGAACGGCCAAGUGAUACUGUCGUGCUAGAGUGCAGAAGGGGCAAUCGGAAUUCUUGGUGUAGCGGUGAAAUGCGUAGAUAUCAAGAGGAACACCUGAGGUGAAGACGGGUUGCUGGGCUGACACUGACGCUGGAGGCGCGAAAGCUAGGGGAGCAAAACGGG